Molecule: ribosomal RNA, 256 nt
Filed under: uncultured bacterium
Lineage: Bacteria
Description: partial 16S ribosomal RNA
Rfam family: Bacterial small subunit ribosomal RNA
Source: RNAcentral
UACAGAGGUCUCAAGCGUUUGUUCGGAUUCAUUGGGCGUAAAGGGUGCGUAGGCGGCGCGGUAAGUCGGGUGUGAAAUCUCGGGGCUUAACUCCGAAACUGCAUUUGAUACUGCCGUGCUUGAGGACUGGAGGGGAGACUGGAAUUCCUGGUGUAGCGGUGAAAUGCGCAGAUAUCAGGAGGAACACCGGUGGCGAAGGCGGGGUCUCUGGGCCGUAAACUGACGCUGAGGAGCGAAAGCGUGGGGAGCGAACAGG